RNAcentral lists this transfer RNA (26 nucleotides) under Arctotis erosa. RNAcentral describes it as "partial tRNA-His". The record is from RNAcentral. Lineage: Eukaryota; Viridiplantae; Streptophyta; Magnoliopsida; Asterales; Asteraceae. RNAcentral also lists the same sequence under 1 other name.
GAUGUAGCCAAGUGGAUCAAGGCAGU